GAUGAACGCUGGCGGCGUGCUUAACACAUGCAAGUCGAACGAAGCUGUUGUUUGGAGACCUUCGGGUGGAAGAAUGACAGACUGAGUGGCGGACGGGUGAGUAACGCGUGGGUAACCUACCUUGCACAGGGGGACAACAGUUGGAAACGACUGCUAAUACCGCAUAAGACCACAGUACCGCAUGGUACAGGGGCAAAAACUGAGGUGGUGCAAGAUGGACCCGCGUCUGAUUAGCUAGUUGGUGGGGUAAAGGCCUACCAAGGCGACGAUCAGUAGCCGACCUGAGAGGGUGAUCGGCCACAUUGGGACUGAGACACGGCCCAAACUCCUACGGGAGGCAGCAGUGGGGAAUAUUGGACAAUGGGGGGAACCCUGAUCCAGCGACGCCGCGUGAGUGAAGAAGUAUUUCGGUAUGUAAAGCUCUAUCAGCAGGGAAGAAAAUGACGGUACCUGACUAAGAAGC
This 463-nucleotide ribosomal RNA is filed under the name Lachnospiraceae bacterium oral taxon 096. RNAcentral describes it as "bacterial SSU rRNA". It matches the Rfam family "Bacterial small subunit ribosomal RNA", at positions 28 to 491 of the family's 1533-position model. The record is from RNAcentral. Lineage: Bacteria; Bacillati; Bacillota; Clostridia; Lachnospirales; Lachnospiraceae.